This 306-nucleotide ribosomal RNA is filed under the name uncultured bacterium. RNAcentral describes it as "partial 16S ribosomal RNA". It matches the Rfam family "Bacterial small subunit ribosomal RNA", at positions 507 to 807 of the family's 1533-position model. The record is from RNAcentral.
GACAGCAGUCGCCGCGGUAAUACGAAGGGUGCAAGCGUUAAUCGGAAUUACUGGGCGUAAAGCGCGCGUAGGUGGUUUGGUAAGAUGGAUGUGAAAUCCCCGGGCUCAACCUGGGAACUGCAUCCAUAACUGCCUGACUAGAGUACGGUAGAGGGUGGUGGAAUUUCCUGUGUAGCGGUGAAAUGCGUAGAUAUAGGAAGGAACACCAGUGGCGAAGGCGACCACCUGGACUGAUACUGACACUGAGGUGCGAAAGCGUGGGGAGCAAACAGGAUUAGAUACCCGGGUAGUCCCUGUCUCUUAUAC